RNAcentral lists this ribosomal RNA (505 nucleotides) under uncultured bacterium. RNAcentral describes it as "partial 16S ribosomal RNA". It matches the Rfam family "Bacterial small subunit ribosomal RNA", at positions 28 to 507 of the family's 1533-position model. The record is from RNAcentral.
GACGAACGCUGGCGGCGUGCCUAAUACAUGCAAGUAGAACGCACAGUUUAUACCGUAGCUUGCUACACCAUAGACUGUGAGUUGCGAACGGGUGAGUAACGCGUAGGUAACCUGCCUGGUAGCGGGGGAUAACUAUUGGAAACGAUAGCUAAUACCGCAUAAUAUUAAUUAUUGCAUGAUAAUUAAUUGAAAGGUGCAAUUGCACCACUACCAGAUGGACCUGCGUUGUAUUAGCUAGUAGGUGAGGUAACGGCUCACCUAGGCGACGAUACAUAGCCGACCUGAGAGGGUGAUCGGCCACACUGGGACUGAGACACGGCCCAGAGUCCUACAGGAGGCAGCAGGAGGGAAUCCUCGGCAAUGGACGAGAGUCUGAGCGAGCAACGCCGCGGGAGUGAAGAAGGUUUUCGGAUCGUAAAGCUCGGUUGUAAGAGAAGAACGGGUGUGAGAGUGGAAAGUUCACACUGUGACGGUAACUUACCAGAAAGGGACGGCUAACUACGUG